This 74-nucleotide transfer RNA is filed under the name Gasterosteus aculeatus (three-spined stickleback). It matches the Rfam family "tRNA". Rfam says of the family: Transfer RNA (tRNA) molecules are approximately 80 nucleotides in length. Their secondary structure includes four short double-helical elements and three loops (D, anti-codon, and T loops). The record is from Rfam by way of RNAcentral. Lineage: Eukaryota; Metazoa; Chordata; Actinopteri; Perciformes; Gasterosteidae.
GGCUCUGUGGCGCAGUUGGUCAGCGCGUUCGGCUGUUAACUGAAAGGUUGGUGGUUCAAGCCCACCCAGGGACG